CUGAUCCAGUGAUGAUUUCAUAGUUCAACAGAUUACUAUGAAGAAGAAACCUGUCUUUCGCUCCUAUCUGAUGCAUCAG
Molecule: small nucleolar RNA, 79 nt
Organism: Cyprinodon variegatus (sheepshead minnow)
Lineage: Eukaryota; Metazoa; Chordata; Actinopteri; Cyprinodontiformes; Cyprinodontidae
Source: Ensembl